UUCGACUUGGAUUUUCAAAAAUUAAAUCUGAUGAUGGUAUUUCUUGUGGCAGAAUUGAUGAGAACAUGGAAGACACAUUAGCGAACGUAGAGGGCGCACAAGGGGCAUUGCUCAAGUACCUGAAUAGCAUAUCAUCUAACAGGUGGCUGAUGAUCAAGAUAUUCUUUAUACUAAUAUUUUUCCUCAUGGUUUUCCUAUUUUUUGUGGCAUAGUCAUUUGCAGAGAGAGAGAGAGAGAGAGAGAGAGAGAGAGAGGGUUGAAAAGGAAGAAAAUGACGAUGAAUUUUAAUAAUUUUACUGUCGACAAAGCCCUUUGUAUUCUAUUCGUAUCAUCUUUUUGCUUCUUCGAAAGUUCACGCGAGCAUAAACAAGAUAAGUAUCGGGGUUUUCCUAUUGUGGUAUAUAUGUUUGGGAUACAUGUAACUGUAAAAUUUGUUGAGAACGGUGGGCAAAAACUAUUCAUUUGUCUGCUCUGUGAUUGUGUUCAAGUGAUUGGAGAAACUUUAGUAAGGCUGUCUAAUUAAAGCGUCUCUCUUGUCACAUAAAAGGGGCCUAAAAAUUGUGUUGACCACCGACGUGCCCCAAGACAAAUCCAAGUCAUCCUACUGUGAUGUUUUCAGUCUGUCUUGCAUGUUGCGGUUAAUUGCACUUAUAUUAUGAAAUUCCAACAAAAAAAUUGUUAAAUAUUUUCACUUUUCAAUAAAAAACAGCAUUACAUAACUGUUUUUGUUUCUUUUGCCUGAAUUGUUCACCGUAUUUUUUUUUUAAUUUUACAGAAUUAUACAUGCACGCAUUUUCUAUGGAUUGUUUUCUCUGCCUUUGUGAUAACUAAAAGUUACCUUCCCAUUCUCAGUUAAAUCCAGGUACAUUUUUGUUUUCUUCUCCAACAAUUUACUAAAAAUUUCAACAAUAAAAAGCAAUUUGCCAAAUCUUAAAUACACAUGAAACAAAUUACUAGCAAAUAAUAAAUAAAUAAACUACUGUGUUAACUUUUUUUUCAAUAUAAAUGACAACUAAACAAACAAAUCCCCACUAGACAAAACAAACAACAGAGAUAAGAUUGAAGAGACGAAGAUAGACUAACUGAUACGAAACAAGAACAUAUUAACUUUCUGAGCAAUGGCUAUGAGCUGCCCAUAAACCAUAUUAAUUUUCUGAACAGUGGCCAUGAGCUGCCCAUGGUUUAUAGGAAAUUGACACCUCAUUCUGGUCUUCCUGAUUCUCAUCAUGAAGUCUUUUGUGGACUUAUAUUCAUACCGUUUGACUUCCACCAAGUCAUUGAUGGUUACUUUAGGCUCCACCUUGUAAAAUUGCUUAUGGAAAGUCAUCUCCAUUUGCAUGGUUGUGUAAGAAAAUAAAACUAAAAGUCUCAUCUAUGAUUCGGAUUUACCUAAUGUUUUGAAUGAUGGUCUUUUUUUUAAUUAGUUUUUUUGAAUAAAUGAUAUUAUCUACAUUAAGAAUAGGGGUGAGCUUAGUCUCAUAAUAGGUUGAUAAUAAUGUGGUUUAAAUUUAUCUUUGGUUAGAAUCGAACUUAAGACCUCUAAUUUACAAAUGAAUGAUGGUCUAUAAAAAGUAACAUAAAAAAUGCACGAUUUAGAUCAUCAAACAAUAUUGUAGAAUAUUAGAAAGAGAAAAAAGUAAAACGAUACCGUAUAAAAACAAAAUAGUUAUAAAAGAGGAAAAUGUUAUUGGCAUUCCAAAAAUCACAUUCUACACUCCUCACAAGUGUAUUUUUUUUCCUAAUAUAGAAAGUUUAGAGUAUAAAAUGAGAUUUUUGAAGUGCUAAUAACAAUUCCUUAAAAAAAAGUAGUAGUUUAUUUUAUAAAACAAAAUAGGUAAAACGAGACCGUCUAAAGUGGGAAAGGUCAAACAAUACCGUUUGAAUUUACAUCCUAUUUAAAAACUAAAAAAGUUUUCGGUUUUUUAUAUUUUUUAAGCUAAUUAAAAUCUUAAAACCAUCUUCAAUCCUUGGCUUGGUUUAAAAUUUUUAACCCAGUAAAUUUAGGUUUUAAUUCAGAAAUAGUUUUUAUUUUCCAACCAUUAUAGGUUAAAUUUUUAGCCCAAGAUUAUUAAAGAAUGAAUUUAAGAUAUUUUUUUUUUCUUAAAGUAAUUUAAAAAAUAAAUAAAUUAUAGACUAUCAUAAUUUAAUUUUAUGAACAUUUUAAUAUAAAAAUAUUUAGAUUUCGAUAAAUAUUAAAAAAUAACUAAACCAACAUCAUGAAACUCGUGGAGCACUAUGAAAGAAUAUGAAACACAUAAAAGAUUUUUUUUUAAGAGUAAACUGCUGAUUUGCCCCCUGAACUAUCACCCAACUUUCAAUUUGCCCCCUGAACUUUUUAAUUGGAAAAUUAAGGACUUAAACUAAUUUUUUUGGCCAAUUUGCCCCCUGAUAUUAAUUUUUCAUUCAUUCCAUCCAAAUUUCUGUUAAAUGGAAGCAUAUGCACAACAUGUGUGGGUAGUUCGGUCACUUCAUUCUUUAAAAUAAUUGAAAACCUUAGAUUUUUAAAAUAUAAACCUAUGCAAAUAUGUGUGAUUCUAUAGCUUUUCUAUCUGAAGAUCUAGUGAAAUGACGCUUUUGUCCACAAAUGAGAGUUACGUAGUUUGCACAUGAUAAGAGUUAACGUUAAUUUGGAUGAAAUUUAUGAAAAACUAACGGUAGGGGGGAAAUCGGCCAAAAAAAUUAGUUUAAGUCCUUAAUUUUCUAAUUAAAAAGUUCAGGGGCAAAUCGAAAGUUGGGUGAUAGUUCAGGGGGCAAAUCGGCAGUUUACUCUUUUUUUUAAUUAUUUUAGCCGUUAGAUUUAAAUUUGAUAUGUCAGACUUUUUUUUACCGUCAGAUUUGAUCAUAUUAGAUCUUAGCCGUUGAAUCAAUGAAUUUAUAAAUAUUAAAUUAAAAAAAAAUACACAUAUAUGGUGGCCCAGCCUCACUAACCGAGGAGGAAUUCUAGCCUAAAUUUGUCUUAGAAAGGAGUUUUGAGUUAAAAUUUAUAUUUGCCUCAAGUAUUGGAGCAAAUUGGGAUAGGUUUAGAAUCUAAAAUUGAGUUUUAUUCCAAAGAUUGAAAUAGGUUUAAUGAUUUAAGGAAAGGAUUAAGAACAUCUUGAAGCCACGUGUAAAAUACAUAAAAACGAGGGACCAUAGUGCAAAAAUCCCCCGUAUGAAGGUACUGCUGUAGAUUCUUUUCUUCUGUUUUUUUUUUUUUCACUUUCAGUCAGAACUAUAGCAAAAUUUUCUUUAUUAGGUCCAACCAUUCGCGCGAUCUCGAUCCAGACGCAGCGUUUCACCAUUCCCGCGACCUUCAACUCCGAGUCAGUUAUUCCUCACUCUGCUCACAAAAACCUCGAUUCCGCAGGUCUAGGGUUUCAGAUCUCACACUUGUGGAGGUAAGUUCCCAAUUCCGUGCUUCAAUUUCUCUACUUUAAUGUUUGGAUGCUCGGAAAGCUGGGGAAGGGAAAAGAAAAUUGGGGUUUUGAUGUGGGGUUUCAAUUGAAUUUCACAUCAAUUAGGCAAAUUAGCAAUGGCGAAAUUUGUGUGAUGUGGAUUAUCUAAUGGAGUGGGCAUUUGAGAAUUGGAGUGGAUUUCUGCGGUUUCAGGUGGUUAUGCUAUUCUAGAAUUCAAAUUUUGGGAAUUUUAGGGUUUUGGAAGAAUGCAUGCGAAAGCGACGCAAUCGUCGUUUCGGGACCGGACGCACGAGUUUCAGAGUGUAGCGGAGAGGCUAAAGAAGUCGUUCUCAUCAGCGCCGGGGCAGAAUGGGCCGAGUAGUGGAUUGAAAUCGAAAUCUGAGGAGCAGCGUUCCGCGGUUGCAAUUCAGUCGGAGUUCAAUAAGAGGGCCUCCAAAAUCGGGUAUGGGAUACAUCAGACGUCGCAGAAACUUGGAAAGCUGACAAAGUGUGAGUUAUUGAUGAUUGGUUGUAUAAUUGUAAUGUUAUUGCUUUUCUUGUUUCAGUUUGAUAUUGAAAACAAUGCUAAUUGAUAUACGUGGUGUGUAAUUCUUGUUAAUGUCCUGGUGCAGCAUGUCGCUCUUGAGAUUUGCGUUGGUUGUCAUGAUAAUAUUGUUGUUUCAGAUAUUGAAGCGUUAUAAGAUAAUCUUGUGUAACAAUUGUAAAGAACCAAUAGCUUUUCCCAUAUCAACGCUGCACUUAUAUUAUAGUGAUAAUCGACACUCAAAGUUACUAAACCCUACCUCUUAUCCCUCAUGGUGUCGCUACUAUUUUCAAUCGUCUCAUGUACCAUGCUUCAUUCGCUCCGUUGCACUUUGUGGAUGAUGAUUAAAUUAGAUAUAACAAUUAUUGUCAGAUUUCUUUCUUCUUUAAAGUGUGAAUGCUUGGAAUGGCUUAGGAUUGUUUUAAUUUUGGUGGCUUUUGUGUGUCUAUGGCUAUAAAUAAUCAGGUUUCAGAGACAAUCAUUUAUUUAUUCUAAUGCAUCUGCCUUUGUCAUGUAGUGGCAAAGAGGACUUCCGUGUUUGAUGAUCCUACAAGGGAAAUUCAGGAGCUGACAGCGGUUAUCAAGCAAGAUAUUACUGCCCUUAACUCUGCAGUGGUGGACCUUCAGCAUCUAUCUAACUCCAGAAAUCAAAGUGGGAAUAUUUCUAGUGACACGAGUAGUCAUUCAACCACAGUUGUUGAUGACCUGAAAAAUCGGCUGAUGAGUGCCACAAAAGAGUUUAAAGAAGUGCUCACCAUGCGAACUGAGGUAAGACCUAAUGUGGCUGAAUAAUUAUUUCCUGUCAAGUUUGUUAGGCUGGUCCUCUUAGUAUGAAAGCGUUCUACUGUUGCUGCUCCUUAAGUUAUUUUCUAAGACUAAUGAAUCUUUUGGUUGGUUUCAUGAAGAAUUUGAAGGUUCAUGAGAAUAGAAGACAAUUGUUUUCUGCGACUGCAUCUAAGGAUGCUGCAAAUCCCUUUGUUCGUCAACGUCCACUGGCUGCCAGGUCAGCUGCUAGUUCUUCAAGUGCUUCUCCUCCUCCAUGGGUUGGAUCACCCUCUUCAUCACAGGCGUUCCCCAAGUAAGAGAGUAUUUUUUUGGUUCUUGUUGUUAAUUAUGGAUGACUGGUACGGGAUGAUUAUAUUGCAACCCGUUAAGUGUAUGAGUAGCUAUAUUUGUCAUAUAUAAAUUGUCAUAGGGGAUGUCUAUGUAUCUAUGAUACUGGGAGAGUCAUCUUGCACUCCUCCUUAGUGAAAAAAAUAACGGAAGGAGGAGUGCAAGAUGUCAUUCUGGAGUGCUUAAUAACAGUUCCCUUGAUAAAUCCAGUUAAAAUUUUGGGAAUUUUGCACUAAAAAUUCUGGUUUAUUUUCUCUAAAAUAUGCAAUUAGUGUUGCUGCUGCUUGCAUGAUUUCUCUUCUUGAACAUCUUGAAAAUAACUGGCCCCUUUCCUUUUUCUCUCCCUUUUCUUCGUUAUGAUGUUAAAUAAUCUGGAGGAUCAGUCAUCUGAGUCAGUUUACAGUAUUGGCUUCUAAACUUCUGUAUUCUUUCAUAGUGAAUCCUAGAAUUGAAGAUGCUCUUUUGAAUAUUUUAAUCUUUAAACUUUUGAUUGUGAUAUGUUUCUGUCAUGUGGUCUUUUAACUUAAUAUGGAGGCAAAAUUUGAGCUUGCAUCAUAGUGAAACAUUUAUUGGUUUCUGAUUCUACAGGAAGCAGAUGGACGGGGAGAGUCAGCCAUUGCUCCAGCAGCAGCAGCAACAGGAGCUGGUUCCGGUGCAAGACAGUUACAUGCAAAGCAGAGCUGAAGCUUUGCAAAAUGUUGAAUCCACUAUUCAUGAGUUGAGCAAUAUUUUCAACCAGCUUGCGACCUUGGUUUCCCAGCAAGGGGAGGUUGCCAUAAGGUUUCACUCUAAUUCCCGUAUCUUCCUUUGAAUUCAGUUGGUAGUGAUAAGCUGACAGUGCUAAAUGAUAGAUCACUAUUUUUUAGCGCCUUACACACUAGCGUUUUUAUUGUUACUGGUAAAGCAUUGCACAAGCUGGGCAAAACUAAAAACCAUGUUCAAACACAAGCUGGGCAAGAAGCUAAUUAUCCAACAUUAAGCACCAUUUAACCCCAUGAAAUAAUUAUAUAUAUAAUUGAACAAACUAGAGUAACAAAUUGUUCUUGACCAUGGGUAAAGCAUUGCACAAUAAAAAGGUUAGUCUCUGAUGGUGGUUCAAAUAUUUUUCUGAUAAGAUGGGUAGCAUAGCUUAUCAACCAAAUAUCUGUGCAUUCAGUAUGAUCCCGACAUCUGUCUGUAGUUUUCGUUUGGUUCAAAGUUUUCUUGUCAGGCAGCAUAUGUUUUUGAAGUUUGUGGAAAUUGUUAAUCUUGAGGUUCUAGGGUCAAAUCCUGUAUCUCUUCACUAUGUGGUGUCUAUGCAUAUGUUGGGUGUUUGGUCUUGGAUUUUCAAAAUUUAAUUUUGAUGCUGGUAUUUCUUCUGGCAGAAUUGAUGAGAACAUGGAAGAUACAUUAGCGAACGUAGAGGGCGCACAAGGGGCAUUGCUCAAGUACCUGAAUAGCAUAUCAUCUAACAGGUGGCUGAUGAUCAAGAUAUUCUUUAUACUAAUAUUUUUCCUCAUGGUUUUCCUAUUUUUUGUGGCAUAGUCUUUUGCAGAGAGAGAGAGAGAGAGAGAGAGAGAGAGAGAGAG
RNAcentral lists this long non-coding RNA (6599 nucleotides) under Malus domestica (apple). Its description in RNAcentral is "long non-coding RNA (MDOM_LNC014531)". The record is from RNAcentral. Lineage: Eukaryota; Viridiplantae; Streptophyta; Magnoliopsida; Rosales; Rosaceae.